Molecule: ribosomal RNA, 559 nt
Filed under: uncultured Lachnospiraceae bacterium
Lineage: Bacteria; Bacillati; Bacillota; Clostridia; Lachnospirales; Lachnospiraceae
Description: bacterial SSU rRNA
Rfam family: Bacterial small subunit ribosomal RNA
Source: RNAcentral
AGCUUGCUUUUCAAAGUUAGUGGCGGACGGGUGAGUAACGCGUGGGUAACCUGCCUCAUACAGGGGGAUAGCAGCUGGAAACGGCUGAUAAAACCGCAUAAGCGCACAGCAUCGCAUGAUGCAGUGUGAAAAACUCCGGUGGUAUGAGAUGGACCCGCGUCUGAUUAGCUGGUUGGUGAGGUAACGGCCCACCAAGGCGACGAUCAGUAGCCGGCCUGAGAGGGUGACCGGCCACAUUGGGACUGAGACACGGCCCAAACUCCUACGGGAGGCAGCAGUGGGGAAUAUUGCACAAUGGGGGAAACCCUGAUGCAGCGACGCCGCGUGAAGGAAGAAGUAUCUCGGUAUGUAAACUUCUAUCAGCAGGGAAGAUAAUGACGGUACCUGACUAAGAAGCCCCGGCUAACUACGUGCCAGCAGCCGCGGUAAUACGUAGGGGGCAAGCGUUAUCCGGAUUUACUGGGUGUAAAGGGAGCGUAGGCGGCGGAGCAAGUCAGAAGUGAAAGCCCGGGGCUCAACCCCGGGACUGCAUUGGAAACUGUCAAUCUAGAGUACCGGA